Molecule: unclassified non-coding RNA, 334 nt
Filed under: soil metagenome
Description: partial contains 5.8S ribosomal RNA, internal transcribed spacer 2, and large subunit ribosomal RNA
Rfam family: 5.8S ribosomal RNA (bases 4-119)
Source: RNAcentral
GAUAAGAACGUAGCGAAAUGCGAUAAGUAGUGUGAAUUGCAGAAUUCAGUGAAUCAUCGAAUCUUUGAACGCACAUUGCGCCCUUUGGUAUUCCUUAGGGCAUGCCUGUUCGAGCGUCAUUUAAACCUUCAAGCUCAGCUUGGUGAUGGGUGACUGUCCCCCCCUCGCGGGGGGACUCGCCUCAAAAACAUUGGCGGCCGGUACAUUGGCUUCGAGCGCAGCAGAAACGCGGUCUCGAGCCCGGUGGAUCGGCUCCCAUAAGUCUAUUCUUUUAUUUUGACCUCGGAUCAGGUAGGGAUACCCGCUGAACUUAAGCAUAUCAAUAAGCGGAGGA